This 197-nucleotide ribosomal RNA is filed under the name uncultured bacterium. RNAcentral's name for it is "partial 16S ribosomal RNA". It matches the Rfam family "Bacterial small subunit ribosomal RNA", at positions 328 to 539 of the family's 1533-position model. The record is from RNAcentral.
ACGCUCGACACCUACUGGAGGCAGCAGUGGGGAAUAUUGCACAAUGGGGGAAACCCUGAUGCAGCGACGCCGCGUGGAGGAAGAAGGUCUUCGGAUUGUAAACUCCUGUUGUUGGGGAAAAAGAGGAUGGUACCCAACAAGGAAGUGACGGCUAACUACGUGCCGCAGCCGCGGUAAUCUGAGCGGGCUGGCAAGGC